This 851-nucleotide small RNA is filed under the name Pan troglodytes (chimpanzee). RNAcentral's name for it is "processed transcript". Lineage: Eukaryota; Metazoa; Chordata; Mammalia; Primates; Hominidae. The record is from RNAcentral.
GCGGGGCGAAGUGGGGGUGCUUAGUCCGUUGCGGGGGGCGGGGUCGCGUCUCCGCAGCAACAGGGUGCGGCCGGGUGGGGAACGCGGGAGCGGGGCCAGCUCCCAGGAAAGCUGGUCUGCGAGCGGCCCCUGCCCGUCUCCCAGGUCCCUGCGCGACCCCGCCCUUCCCGAGACCCCAGCCGGGCUGCCGCCCGCGUCCCGGAAGCUCCAGCCUGAACCAUGUUUUUCACUUGUGGCCCAAAUGAGGCCAUGGUGGUCUCCGGGUUCUGCCGAAGCCCCCCAGUCAUGGUGGCUGGAGGGCGUGUCUUUGUCCUGCCCUGCAUCCAACAGAUCCAGAGGUAAAAAUCCAGGGGCAGAACAAGGAGAUGUUGGCGGCCGCCUGUCAGAUGUUCCUGGGGAAGACGGAGGCUGAGAUUGCCCACAUUGCCCUGGAGACGUUAGAGGGCCACCAGAGGGCCAUCAUGGCCCACAUGACUGUGGAGGAGAUCUAUAAGGACAGGCAGAAAUUCUCAGAACAGGUUUUCAAAGUGGCCUCCUCAGACCUGGUCAACAUGGGCAUCAGUGUGGUUAGCUACACUCUGAAGGACAUUCACGAUGACCAGGACUAUUUGCACUCUUUGGGGAAGGCUCGAACAGCUCAAGUCCAAAAAGAUGCACGGAUUGGAGAAGCAGAGGCCAAGAGAGAUGCUGGGAUCCGGGAAGCUAAAGCCAAGCAGGAAAAGGUGUCUGCUCAGUACCUGAGUGAGAUCGAGAUGGCCAAGGCACAGAGAGAUUACGAACUGAAGAAGGCCGCCUAUGACAUCGAGGUCAACACCCGCCGAGCACAGGCUGACCUGGCCUAUCAGCUUCAG